Sphaeramia orbicularis (orbiculate cardinalfish) is the source of this 148-nucleotide long non-coding RNA. RefSeq lists it as uncharacterized. NCBI's taxonomy places the organism in Eukaryota, Metazoa, Chordata, Actinopteri, Kurtiformes, Apogonidae. The record is from RefSeq and is a predicted model, not a curated record. The transcript is spliced from 3 exons.
CCCCCCCGCCCUUUUUGGAUUACACACCGCUUACAUUCAGAGGUCACUUCCACAGAAAACCUGAACUACAAGGAGCUACCAUGGACAGAGACAAGUCCUACACCCAUACCCAGUCUCUUCACCAGGGUCAGGAGAAGAGACCUCAGCC